Molecule: non-coding RNA, 136 nt
Organism: Leptonychotes weddellii (Weddell seal)
Lineage: Eukaryota; Metazoa; Chordata; Mammalia; Carnivora; Phocidae
Source: RefSeq, a predicted model, not a curated record
AGCUUUGCACAGUGGCAGUAUCGUAGCCAAUGAGGUUUAUCCGAGGCGCGAUUAUUGCUAAAAGUUAAAGUCAGUAUAUUAAAAUUCCUUACUAAUCAGCGGUUCGUGCCAUAGAUUUCAUUUAGGUCACUAGACC